Molecule: ribosomal RNA, 465 nt
Filed under: uncultured bacterium
Lineage: Bacteria
Description: partial 16S ribosomal RNA
Rfam family: Bacterial small subunit ribosomal RNA
Source: RNAcentral
CCUACGGGAGGCAGCAGUAGGGAAUCUUCCACAAUGGGCGAAAGCCUGAUGGAGCAACGCCGCGUGGGUGAAGAAGGUCUUCGGAUCGUAAAACCCUUUUGUUAGAGAAGAAAGUGCGUGAGAGUAACUGUUCACGUUUCGACUGUAUCUAACCAGAAAGCCACGGCUAACUACGUGCCAGCAGCCGCGGUAAUACGUAGGUGGCAAGCGUUAUCCGGAUUGAUUGGGCGUAAAGGGAACGCAGGCGGUCUUUUAAGUCUGAUGUGAAAGCCUUCGGCUUAACCGGAGUAGUGCAUUGGAAACUGGGAGACUUGAGUGCAGAAGAGGAGAGUGGAACUCCAUGUGUAGCGGUGAAAUGCGUAGAUAUAUGGAAGAACACCAGUGGCGAAAGCGGCUCUCUGGUCUGUAACUGACGCUGAGGUUCGAAAGCGUGGGUAGCAAACAGGAUUAGAUACCCGAGUAGUC